AACGAACGCUGGCGGCAGGCCUAACACAUGCAAGUCCAGCGGACCCUUCGGGGUUAGCGGCGGACGGGUGAGUAACGCGUGGGAAUAUGCCCUUCUCUACGGAAUAGUCCUGGGAAACUGGGGGUAAUACCGUAUACGCCCUUUGGGGGAAAGAUUUAUCGGGGAAGGAUUAGCCCGCGUUGGAUUAGGUAGUUGGUGGGGUAAUGGCCUACCAAGCCGACGAUCCAUAGCUGGUUUGAGAGGAUGAUCAGCCACACUGGGACUGAGACACGGCCCAGACUCCUACGGGAGGCAGCAGUGGGGAAUCUUAGACAAUGGGGGCAACCCUGAUCUAGCCAUGCCGCGUGAGUGAUGAAGGCCUUAGGGUUGUAAAGCUCUUUCAGCUGGGAAGAUAAUGACGGUACCAGCAGAAGAAGCCCCGGCUAACUCCGUG
Molecule: ribosomal RNA, 433 nt
Filed under: uncultured bacterium
Lineage: Bacteria
Description: partial 16S ribosomal RNA
Rfam family: Bacterial small subunit ribosomal RNA
Source: RNAcentral